GGGCACGUGGCGGAACAGGCAGACGCGACGGACUUAAAAUCCGUUGGCCGAAAGGCCAUGUGGGUUCGCCCCCCGCCGUGCCCA
This is a transfer RNA of 84 nucleotides. It matches the Rfam family "tRNA". From Rfam's summary of the family: Transfer RNA (tRNA) molecules are approximately 80 nucleotides in length. Their secondary structure includes four short double-helical elements and three loops (D, anti-codon, and T loops).